Molecule: ribosomal RNA, 466 nt
Filed under: uncultured bacterium
Lineage: Bacteria
Description: partial 16S ribosomal RNA
Rfam family: Bacterial small subunit ribosomal RNA
Source: RNAcentral
GAUGAACGCUGGCGGCGUGCUUAACACAUGCAAGUCGAACGGUGAAGCCAAGCUUGCUUGGUGGAUCAGUGGCGAACGGGUGAGUAACGCGUGAGCAACCUGCCCUGGACUCUGGGAUAAGCGCUGGAAACGGCGUCUAAUACUGGAUAUGAGCCUCUUCCGCAUGGUGGGGGUUGGAAAGAUUUUUUGGUCUGGGAUGGGCUCGCGGCCUAUCAGCUUGUUGGUGAGGUAAUGGCUCACCAAGGCGUCGACGGGUAGCCGGCCUGAGAGGGUGACCGGCCACACUGGGACUGAGACACGGCCCAGACUCCUACGGGAGGCAGCAGUGGGGAAUAUUGCACAAUGGGCGAAAGCCUGAUGCAGCAACGCCGCGUGAGGGAUGACGGCCUUCGGGUUGUAAACCUCUUUUAGCAGGGAAGAAGCGAAAGUGACGGUACCUGCAGAAAAAGCGCCGGCUAACUACGUG